AACGAACGCUGGCGGCAGGCCUAACACAUGCAAGUCGAGCGAGGACUUCGGUCCUAGCGGCGGACGGGUGAGUAACGCGUGGGAACGUGCCCUUUGCUUCGGAAUAGCCCUGGGAAACUGGGAGUAAUACCGGAUGAGCCCUUUGGGGGAAAGAUUUAUCGGCGAAGGAUCGGCCCGCGUUGGAUUAGGUAGUUGGUGGGGUAAUGGCCUACCAAGCCGACGAUCCAUAGCUGGUUUGAGAGGAUGAUCAGCCACACUGGGACUGAGACACGACCCAGACUCCUACGGGAGGCAGCAGUGGGGAAUCUUAGACAAUGGGGGAAACCCUGAUCUAGCCAUGCCGCGUGAGCGAUGAAGGCCUUAGGGUUGUAAAGCUCUUUCAGCUGGGAAGAUAAUGACGGUACCAGCAGAAGAAGCCCCGGCUAACUCCGUG
This 433-nucleotide ribosomal RNA is filed under the name uncultured bacterium. RNAcentral's name for it is "partial 16S ribosomal RNA". It matches the Rfam family "Bacterial small subunit ribosomal RNA", at positions 29 to 507 of the family's 1533-position model. The record is from RNAcentral.